AUUGUAGCGGUCCCGCUAUAUAAGGUGGCGCCUACGCGCCGCGCUCCUCACCUACUUCUGCACCGGCCCGGAGCCCGCCGAUCCUCCCCCAGCGCACCCGGCAUCCCGCGCACCGACGGAGCGGACAUGGGCAGAGCAAUGGUGGUCAGGCUGGGGCUGGGGCUGCUGCUCCUGGCUCUGCUCCUACCCGCGCAGAUUUAUGCAAAUCAAACAACUCUUGCAACAGAGUCAAGUAGCUUGUCCCAGAAUGUUACGACUACUACUACUACUACGAGUCCGAUCAAUGCCACCACCAGGGGGGAUGCCAGUGCACUGCAGUCCACAGCAGCCAGCCUCCUCGUGGUCUCUCUCUCCCUGCUACAUCUCUACUGUUAGAGACUCAGGCCAAGAAGCAUCAACAUUUUCCCCUCUUCUAAACCCACCCCAAAUGGCGACGAGAAGUCCACGUGGCAAGGAAGAAGCAAUCUUCAUGGCAUCUACUAGCUCCACGCCUUGUCCCGCUGACACCAAAAGUGUUGAGAAUCCCAAAUUUGAUUGGUUUGAAAAACAUGGGAAGAGUUUGACCAGAUGAUGAGCGCCGACACUAAAUCUGCUGGCAUUUUCAUGUUCAACAUGAAGAGAGACAACAUCCAAAUUUAAAGACAUGAUUUCCUCGAAUGUAGCUUAAGAAAUAUAUGAACACUGAGCACCUCUACCUUGAAAAAUUGAGAAUAGAUUUUGUCUUGCCUAGAAUUAAAGGGUGGGGAUGUGGAAUGGAGAUUCGUUUUUUCAUUUGAUUUGCUAAAUGUGUAAGGCCAUAAAACCAGUUAAGUAAUACAAAAAGCUUCCAUGAUCCUAUUUACACGUACAUUAGAAGGAAUUCCAGGCGUGGUAGAUCCUCAGUGUGUUGUUGCAGCAGCACUAAUUUAAUGCUGACAUACCCUAAAGCUCCACGUUGUCGUCACUGUUCUCUUAAGAACUGAACUUUUUUUUUUUCUCUCUGAGGCUUUGGACUUGACAUUGCAUUUGACCUUUUAUGUACCAGGGCAAUGAUGGAUUGGAAUAGCCCCAAAUUCAAGCACAAGUAAAUCUUGCUUAUCCUCAAGUUAAACCCGUAGGCGUUUUCCAUCAGGUGCUUGUAUUCAAUGAGAAUGUCAGAAUCGUUUAGUUCAACUGGUUCCAAGGAGUACAGUUGCACUGGCCUCUGCCGAUUUCAAAAUGCUGCUGCUUUAGUUCUGCCUAGGUUGAGGACUUGUUCCAAUUUAAAAAAAGGUGGGGGGAGUCUGUUUUGAAGGUGAAGUGGGAGAUUUUGAAAUUCACAAUAGAAAGGUGAAUAUGGAAAGGAGCCAAAAUGUCAAGUAUUUGGGAAGUGAAGACCGGAAGCUUCCUUGCAUUCAAUUCACAAAAACUUUUAUACUCUUUAUGUAAAUACAUUUUUUUUAAGAAAAUUCGACAACUAUGGAUCAGGAAAGCCACCCUCGGGAGCGCUCUGAUCAGUCCGUAUUUUUAGAAAGUUAGCACCUGAUAGUUUAAGCCUAACAUGGCUUCAGUCUGCAGAAAAAUCACAAUUCCCUUGAAGUACAGAGAUGUUUUCAAAACCAACACUCCCUGGAAUCUUGUUCGCAUGGUCACACACUGAUGCUUAGAUGUUCUAAUAGGUAAUUAUGGCCAUAGGAGUCUGGCUAAAUCAAGAUCAUUUCUCCUUUUUUUUUUUUUUUUAAUCAUCUUUAGAAAUCUACAUGGGAACAACCAGGUUGAACAGAUCUGAAGCUACUGUGUGUGUGAAUGAACACUCCUUUUUUGCUUCAUACCUAAAUGCUGUACAACUAUUUUGAAUUGUAUAUGUGUUUGUGUAUUUAUGCUUUGAUUCAUAGUAACUUCUCAUGUUAUGGAAUUGAUUUGCAUUGAACACAAACUGUAAAUAAAAAGAAAUAAAUGGCUGGAACAGAAA
Molecule: long non-coding RNA, 1930 nt
Organism: Ochotona curzoniae (black-lipped pika)
Lineage: Eukaryota; Metazoa; Chordata; Mammalia; Lagomorpha; Ochotonidae
Exons: 2
Source: RefSeq, a predicted model, not a curated record